GUCCACGCUGUAAACGAUGAACACUAGGUAUUGGGGGAUUUGACCCCUUCAGUGCCGCAGCUAACGCGUUAAGUGUUCCGCCUGGGAAGUACGGUCGCAAGACUAAAAACUCAAAGGAAUUGACGGGGGCCCGCACAAGCGGUGGAUUAUGUGGUUUUAAUUCGAAGCAACGCGCAGAACCUUACCUAGGCUUGAAAUCCCAUGAAUCCCUUUUAAACGAGGGAGUGCUCUUCGGAGAAUAUGGUGACAGGCGCUGCAUGGCUGUCGU
RNAcentral lists this ribosomal RNA (268 nucleotides) under uncultured bacterium. RNAcentral's name for it is "partial 16S ribosomal RNA". It matches the Rfam family "Bacterial small subunit ribosomal RNA", at positions 793 to 1055 of the family's 1533-position model. The record is from RNAcentral.